UUUGAGCUGUGACUGACUGACUGUGCAACCAAAUUAAGAUUCAAAAACUCAUUACCAGAUGUCGCUAGUGUCGCCUUUGUUGUUGUUACAUCGUGAAAAACGGGCAAAAUGGGCGAAACAAUUGGAUGCUAAUUAAUUAUUAUAUUCCUGUGAUUUCACAUACCAAAUUUAACUUCGUAUCAUAUAUGCAUACUGUAAUAAGUCAUUCCAAAAAAUUGACUUAGCACUCAGUCACUUUCCCUCCAAUAGACCCAUCAUGUUGUCAAAAGCCUAAAACUCAUGUGUGAAGCUCACAUAUCAUGGAAUACAAAUGUGUGGAGACAAGGAAUUUCCCCAUUACUGCUACCACACCAACCACACCACGUCAAAUGCCAAAUUUAGCACCAUUCACCCAUAUGAUCAAGCAUCAGGAAAUUUACCUCAACCUAAUGAGUAAGGCUGUUGGUCGCUGUGAUUUCCAUUUUUGCGGUUUUUUUAUCAUGAAAAUCUUCAGUGUGCUUCUUAGUUUAGAGCACGUAAUAGAUCCUUAAGCCAAUGCUGACCUUUGUCCAUGAAGGAAGAGGGACAUCCAGCAACGUUCUGCUCCAUCCUUAUCUUCCCGACGUACGCUCAUCUAGCUUCACUGCUUUUGCUGCUAUAACUUGUUUUACUUCACCGACAAGUUGGAACACUUCAGUGGUCGCUACCCCCUUUGCUGUUACACACCUGCAGUUACUCACCACGGGAUUAUGCCCAGGUAAUGCAGAAGAGACGUCGAGAAGAUGGAUACCAAAACAUUGCCGGU
RNAcentral lists this long non-coding RNA (784 nucleotides) under Daphnia pulicaria. RNAcentral describes it as "uncharacterized LOC124326756". Lineage: Eukaryota; Metazoa; Arthropoda; Branchiopoda; Diplostraca; Daphniidae. The record is from RNAcentral.